GUAGGGAACAAACCAGACCACGGACCAGGCCACGUUAGGGGUUGGUGUGUUUCUGGGUGGAAGAGCCUGCUCAGCCAGGGCCGGCAGGGCAAGCUGUCCUCUCUGAGCUGACAGGGAAGCCUGGGGAUGCUAGGGAAUUUGAGAGUCCCCGCCUGGCAUGCACUCCCCUUGAAAGGAUUGUCAGGAAACUGGAGGCCUUGCUGAAUUUGGAGAGGAUGAUUUAGUUCCUACUUGAUUGCUCUCCUCCUAAGUCCCUCUCUCCAUGAAGCUCCUUGAAUAUAAAUUCGGGAAUUUAUCAUCAUAGCAUUAUUGUCUGCUUCUAACCUGUAACUCCUCAUUUAUAAAAAUGGGGGCUCUGGACUAGAUCUCUCAAUUCCCUUCAGAGCCAACAUUUGAUGGUUUUAAGUGAAAAUGUGUUCCACCUGGAACCAAGGGGCGUUCAGCUCAAGCCUCUAAAAAACAUAGUUCAAGCUUAACUGGAAGGACCUGGAGAGCUGGUUACAGCCGCUGCCUCACAGCAGGUCCCAGGUAACAAGGGCCCUCUCACCUGACCCGAGCGUGGUAGGAGACAGCACGGGAUGAUUCUGAAGCCCAUAUCCUGUCCCCUCCAGGGCUUGGCAUUCUGUUUCCUGGAACUUCUCCAUUCUAAGCGGAGAUACUAUUAAAGAAUGUUUUAAAUUGAGGAAUGAGAAAUAUUCUCCACGUGAGUUUUUAAAGUCCACGUGUGAGACUGGUCGUUCUUAAGCUCAAAGUCACCUGCAGUGCUUGUUAAAAUUGCAGUCUGCGGCUCAAUUCCAGCGCUCUGACUCAGUGGAUUUGCAUUUCCAGAGCUUCUAGGUGAUUCUGGAGCAAAUUUGUGGUGGAAAACUACCUGGUGCUACCUGGUAUGUAGGAGGCUGCACUUCGCAGGGACCUGGCCUUAAACAGGCUCGGAGCCCCGCCCUCGCCGGCUUCCCAUGGCCUGUGAGGUCCGGGGAUCCGAGCAGCCUCUUCACUGACCGGCUUCAGGCCACUGGGUUCCACAAUUGCAUCAGUGAUCCGAACGGCCUGUCUCCUCAGUGCCAAACAGCUGGACACUUAGAGAGGGGAGGCCAUUCAUGUCCAGACACACAGGGUUGGUGAACACAUGCAGGUCCCGGGAGGAUGGCAUGCCCAGAGAGCAUCAGAGCACGGUGCCCUCCCCACACAUAUGUUACCCUGUGCGUCUCUUCCAUCUGGCUGUUGCUGAGUCACAGAAAAAACCUCCUUUUCCUCGAUGGAGGAAAACAGCUACCCUUCAUGUGGAAACCCUGCAAAGUUCUCAGCUAAAGCAGCAACGAUCUGUGUUCAUUGCUUCAUCCCUGAAUGUGAGACAUGAGGCAGAAUAUGUCCUCCUACAGGAGAGAAAGGACGGUGGGGGCUGUAGGCGGUCCUGCACCUCUACAAAGGAAGCAUGCCGGGCCGGUAUGUUGCUCUUGCCUAUGUCCUUCGAAUCACAUGUAAAUUGGAACUGGGCAAGAUCUGUAAUCCGUGUUAAAUCUGAUUUAACUAUAAAAUAUUUUGUGUUAUCUUAAUAGGGAAAGAAACAA
Long non-coding RNA from Equus asinus (donkey), 1568 nucleotides. The record is from Ensembl. NCBI's taxonomy places the organism in Eukaryota, Metazoa, Chordata, Mammalia, Perissodactyla, Equidae.